CUGCUCAGGACGAACGCUGGCGGCGUGCCUAAUACAUGCAAGUCGAGCGGACAGAUGGGAGCUUGCUCCCUGAUGUUAGCGGCGGACGGGUGAGUAACACGUGGGUAACCUGCCUGUAAGACUGGGAUAACUCCGGGAAACCGGGGCUAAUACCGGAUGGUUGUUUGAACCGCAUGGUUCAAACAUAAAAGGUGGCUUCGGCUACCACUUACAGAUGGACCCGCGGCGCAUUAGCUAGUUGGUGAGGUAACGGCUCACCAAGGCAACGAUGCGUAGCCGACCUGAGAGGGUGAUCGGCCACACUGGGACUGAGACACGGCCCAGACUCCUACGGGAGGCAGCAGUAGGGAAUCUUCCGCAAUGGACGAAAGUCUGACGGAGCAACGCCGCGUGAGUGAUGAAGGUUUUCGGAUCGUAAAGCUCUGUUGUUAGGGAAGAACAAGUACCGUUCGAAUAGGGCGGUACCUUGACGGUACCUAACCAGAAAGCCACGGCUAACUACGUGCCAGCAGCCGCGGUAAUACGUAGGUGGCAAGCGUUGUCCGGAAUUAUUGGGCGUAAAGGGCUCGCAGGCGGUUUCUUAAGUCUGAUGUGAAAGCCCCCGGCUCAACCGGGGAGGGUCAUUGGAAACUGGGGAACUUGAGUGCAGAAGAGGAGAGUGGAAUUCCACGUGUAGCGGUGAAAUGCGUAGAGAUGUGGAGGAACACCAGUGGCGAAGGCGACUCUCUGGUCUGUAACUGACGCUG
Molecule: ribosomal RNA, 746 nt
Filed under: Bacillus sp. (in: firmicutes)
Lineage: Bacteria; Bacillati; Bacillota; Bacilli; Caryophanales; Bacillaceae
Description: bacterial SSU rRNA
Rfam family: Bacterial small subunit ribosomal RNA
Source: RNAcentral